Molecule: non-coding RNA, 184 nt
Filed under: Acinetobacter calcoaceticus
Lineage: Bacteria; Pseudomonadati; Pseudomonadota; Gammaproteobacteria; Moraxellales; Moraxellaceae
Description: 6S / SsrS RNA
Rfam family: 6S / SsrS RNA
About the family: E. coli 6S RNA was the first non coding RNA to be sequenced, but its function was unknown until recently. It consists of 184 nucleotides that fold into an extended hairpin structure with a large single-stranded internal bulge. The 6S RNA specifically associates with RNA polymerase holoenzyme containing the sigma70 specificity factor.
Source: RNAcentral
ACCACUCUGGGAUGUUCGCCAGCACGUCAGAUUCCCCUGAGCCGAUAUUUAUAUCCCCGGAUGUAUCCUGCGUAUUUAGAGCGUAAGCCUGCCUUGAGUAGGAAACCCAGCAAGUACGCGUUGCGUCCACCUUGAACUUUAGGGUUCAAGGGUAAUGAUAUGCAGCGGCAUCUUCGGAGUGAAC